This 476-nucleotide ribosomal RNA is filed under the name Enterococcus faecium. Its description in RNAcentral is "bacterial SSU rRNA". It matches the Rfam family "Bacterial small subunit ribosomal RNA", at positions 31 to 483 of the family's 1533-position model. The record is from RNAcentral. Lineage: Bacteria; Bacillati; Bacillota; Bacilli; Lactobacillales; Enterococcaceae.
GAGGGCUAGGGCUGCUAUACUGCAGUCGACGCUUCUUUUUCCACCGGAGCUUGCUCCACCGGAAAAAGAGGAGGGGCGAACGGGUGAGUAACACGUGGGUAACCUGCCCAUCAGAAGGGGAUAACACUUGGAAACAGGUGCUAAUACCGUAUAACAAUCGAAACCGCAUGGUUUUGAUUUGAAAGGCGCUUUCCGGUGUCGCUGAUGGAUGGACCCGCGGUGCAUUAGCUAGUUGGUGAGGUAACGGCUCACCAAGGCCACGAUGCAUAGCCGACCUGAGAGGGUGAUCGGCCACAUUGGGACUGAGACACGGCCCAAACUCCUACGGUGAGGCAGCAGUAGGGAAUCUUCGGCAAUGGACGAAAGUCUGACCGAGCAACGCCGCGUGAGUGAAGAAGGUUUUCGGAUCGUAAAACUCUGUUGUUAGAGAAGAACUAGGUUUUAGAGUAACUGUUCAUCCCUUGACGGUAUCUAAC